CCUGCGGCAGAUUAGCUAGUUGGUAAGGUAAUGGCUUACCAAGGCUACGAUCUGUAACCGACCUGAGAGGGUGGUCGGUCACACUGACACUGAAUAACGGGUCAGACUCCUACGGGAGGCAGCAGUCGGGAAUUUUGGGCAAUGGGCGAAAGCCUGACCCAGCAACGCCGCGUGAAGGAUGAAGUAUUUCGGUAUGUAAACUUCGAAAGAAUAGGAAGAAUAAAUGACGGUACUAUUUAUAAGGUCCGGCUAACUACGUGCCAGCAGCCGCGGUAAUACGUAGGGACCAAGCGUUGUUCGGAUUUACUGGGCGUAAAGGGCGCGUAGGCGGCAGUUCAAGUCAGUUGUGAAAUCUCCGAGCUUAACUCGGAACGGUCAACUGAUACUGUUUUGCUAGAGUGCAGAAGGGGCAAUCGGAAUUCUUGGUGUAGCGGUGAAAUGCGUAGAUAUCAAGAGGAACACCUGAGGUGAAGACGGGUUGCUGGGCUGACACUGACGCUGAGGCGCGAAAGCUAGGGUAGCAAACGGGAUUAGAUACCCCGGUAGUCCUAGCCCUAAACGAUGAAUACUUGGUGUCUGGAGUAAUUUAAUUCUCCGGGUGCCGUCGCUAACGUUUUUAGUAUUCCGCCUGGGGAGUACGCACGCAAGUGUGAAACUCAAAGGAAUUGACGG
This 672-nucleotide ribosomal RNA is filed under the name uncultured bacterium. RNAcentral describes it as "bacterial SSU rRNA". It matches the Rfam family "Bacterial small subunit ribosomal RNA", at positions 230 to 916 of the family's 1533-position model. The record is from RNAcentral.